This 305-nucleotide ribosomal RNA is filed under the name uncultured bacterium. Its description in RNAcentral is "partial 16S ribosomal RNA". It matches the Rfam family "Bacterial small subunit ribosomal RNA", at positions 508 to 808 of the family's 1533-position model. The record is from RNAcentral.
ACAGCAGUAGCCGCGGUAAUACGGAGGGUGCAAGCGUUAAUCGGAAUUACUGGGCGUAAAGCGCACGCAGGCGGUCUGACAAGUCAGAUGUGAAAUCCCCGGGCUUAACCUGGGAACUGCAUUUGAAACUGUCAGGCUGGAGUCUUGUAGAGGGGGGUAGAAUUCCAGGUGUAGCGGUGAAAUGCGUAGAGAUCUGGAGGAAUACCGGUGGCGAAGGCGGCCCCCUGGACAAAGACUGACGCUCAGGUGCGAAAGCGUGGGGAGCAAACAGGAUUAGAUACCCCCGGUAGUCCCUGUCUCUUAUA